UGUUCUCCUUUGCUCUUUUUUUCUGUUUUGGUCUGUUUUCUCUCUUGCCUUCAGGUGGGGUGUGUGAUACAGAGAACAGCAGCUUCCCAGCCACCAAGGUGCUGUGUGAGUAUGGAAAACAGGAGCAAGAAUGGGUCAAGAAAUAGGAAAAACCGUGUGGAGUGUUCAUCAAAGGACAUGGAGCUGCUGGAACAUUUCUUCAGCCUUUGGAAAUCCAGCAUCCCAAGCAAAAUUAAACUGGCAGAGAAAACUGAAGCAAGAAGGGAAGUCUGUGCACUUAGAGAGAAAAUUAAAGUUUUUUUUAAACUGGAAUUGUCUGUGACAAGUGUGACAAGGCUUGGCUACUAAAAGGCUGUGUUGCAAGAUAA
Molecule: long non-coding RNA, 368 nt
Organism: Melospiza melodia melodia
Lineage: Eukaryota; Metazoa; Chordata; Aves; Passeriformes; Passerellidae
Exons: 2
Source: RefSeq, a predicted model, not a curated record